AAAUACGCUCAAGCAUACGCUGCGUCAAUGGGUUUUGGUAAAGAAGAAUAGAGGGGUUCGUCCUCGGAACGUCAAGGACAAUUUGUCGCCAAAUAGUUUGAUCCAAAGGUGGUGGCUCUGUAUUUGUAUUAAAGCAGGAAUCUUUUGCUGCGUUAUAUUCGUCUCUCUUUCGCUUUAAAGUGACUUCACGACGAGAAGCAUUACAAGGUAAAUAUCCUAACAAGUAUUUCCAGACAAUAGGUCUAUGUUCGGAGGGAAUUCCAUUCCAAGCCAAUGUACGAAGCGCAUUUAAAUCCACAAUUGGAGCAUCAAGAAUUCGCGAAAACUUCUUGAUCCGAGAGACAAGCGCAUUGCUUUCAGCAACCUCAACUUCUACAGAACGAUGGGCUAGUUUAGCGGGUAAAGGAAAACGACCAGACGAAUGAAGCUUUUGUCUAGAAGUGGUAGUAUCCACGCCAUUUUGAGGAAAUAAGGAGCGGCUUGAAGAAUUUGGAGUAGUACUUCGAGCCAUACGAGGAAGAGAUUUUGAGGCUUUAAUAUUCGAAACUCCCCAAUCGUCAUCUGUCUGUGACAAAUAUUUGGCAAACUUUGCAGACACUUUUUUGCCUACAACAGCUUCCAAGGAAAGAGAAGAUCUCGCAGAAGGUGCAUAGAUUUUAGACUCACUAGCAGAUUCGGGUCUAGUUAUGGACCGGGCCAAAGAGAUAUGAUCUUUUGGGGGUUGAUCUGAGUAAACAGAGUCGUCCAAUCUGAACGGUUGAGCUUUGGAAGAAGUGCUUCGACCACGAUGGUGAUGGGUCCGGCUUCGAUCCAAAACAGUAACUGGAUCCGAAGUGGCGCUAGAGGAUCCAUUCCAUAAGCUGGAGAGAGUUUUUAAGGCGGACGACUUUUUUGACUGAGAUUCCAUAGUGGAAAAUCUUAAAAUACGAGAAGAAAAAUUGUUUUUACAAAAUGAAGCAGUAAUUUGAUAGCCUUGAUGGACACAACAAAUUUAGCAAAUAACAGAUACUCUUUGAAUUUAUCGCCAAAAUAAAAUACUUUUGGUUAAGAUGCAAAAAACAGUUUCAAAAUUUGCUGUAAAAAGUAGAUGAAACGUUUUAGAAGGCAAUAACUUCAAAUGUUUAACGACGAAGGAUCUUAGGCACCACUCAUAGACUUACCGGACUUGAAGUCUUAUUCUUUUCUUAUCAAAUGAAAACUAUUUUCAAAAAAAAAAAACUUAAGCUAUUAGAAGCAAAGCCGUGUCUGUGGGUUCCAUCCAAACGAAAACGCACCAGCUCGAGAUCUUGUGAUCUAUUAGAACAGCGCGGAAUUUGAACACGAACAAAUGUUUCGAGAAAACCUUAGAUACAAUCCAAUACACUAGUAUAUUUACAAAUUUUAACCGAAUAUCAACGAAAUUGUGAAGAUUUACUCGGUCUGUGCAGUUGCCAAGGCAGUUGCCCUUAUUUGGUGGAAGAACAAAACAAUAGGGAGGAAAACAGUAGGUGUAUGGAGUUUCUUAUAUAUGAGGUUUUUUUAAUAAAAGGAGCAAGGUUUAAUACUUUAAUUAUUUAUCUCACUUUUUAGUUAAAGGAAAUUCGUUUUAAGCCAUGAACAGUUGAUAGAAGGAUUUUGGCCGUGCAUGGUCUUAUUGCUUGGGAAUGUUGGGUUUAUAUGCGCAGAGUAGUAAAAGAUACACAGCUAGGUCUCAUUUAACAAUGUUUAUAUCUAUGAGUUCUAUCUCUUCUUUACUUAAGUUGCUGCCAGUAAAAGUGAACAAUGUAAUUUUGACAAUUGUGACUAGUCGCUUUUCAAAACAAAAAAGAGAAAAGUAUAAACGUUGAUUAAGAAACGUAAAAAAGUAUUUCCUGUCAAUAAUGAAUCUCUGAUUUUAUUGUUAUUUUUCGUAUUGAC
This is a non-coding RNA of Schizosaccharomyces pombe (fission yeast), 1896 nucleotides long. Lineage: Eukaryota; Fungi; Ascomycota; Schizosaccharomycetes; Schizosaccharomycetales; Schizosaccharomycetaceae. The record is from the annotation of a GenBank genome assembly.